GGAUAUUAGUUCAGUUUGAUAGGAUGUAGCUCAGAUUUACUGAAGAAUUUAAGGCAAUGACCCUUUGCUGAAGUCCUCGUUUAUGAUUUCAGCUUUGCUUUUCCCCCAUCCCUUCAUGAUGACAUGGAGAAAGUUGAAGUGCAGUUCUGUCAACAGGAGAGAACUCUCUAAUUUACUGGACAGGCUAACAAAGAAACAUCAGUGAUUUAAAAUCUCCACUCAGAAAUGGUGAACAACAGCAGAACCCCAACUAACUGAAGGAAGUGCAUAUGAUCACAGUAUAUUUCAGUUGUUUAAGGCAAUAUUGUCUCCGAUGAUCUGGGAAGAGAAUCCCAUGGUAAGUGGUUUUGAACUAGGCAAAAUGCUCAUAUGUUUGGUUCCCAACGCGUUUGUAACCCAGGCCCUAGAGAAGAUCUCUCCUAGCUAAUCCUAUGCUAUGGGAAAUGCAGCCCUUCAUGACACAGAUGUUGAGGAAAUAGAAGUGAAGUUUUUGUCGAAUUUAUCCUUUGUAGGUUCUAAAGAUGUGUAUAAAAUAAAACCAGUGUUGAAAAUGUAAUAUCUUCAGAAAAAUGGCCAUUUUUUAAUAGAUUCUCCAGCUCUGGUAACUAACGAAGAAUCUGAUCCAGGCCUGUAUCCAGACCCUUCCCUGGACCUGUGCCACCGAAUUAAAGAAAAGCUGGGCAUGUUUCAGGAAGCCAUUCCUCAUUAACACUGCUGAGAUUUUAAGUGGUUUUGUAAAGGAUUCUACUUCAGAGAAGUGUAACUUUACCCUAUCCAAGACCAAGGAUUUGGAAAGAGCUGAGGUUGAAAAAGUCCACAGCCAGUUCUUGGUUUCCACCCCAGUAAAGGAAGCUAUGGUGACCCAAAGAAAAUGGUUUGUAUAACUCCACUUCCUAGUUCAGUGUCACUGAUUACACUUCCAAAGUAUGCCAGGGUUAGAUUGAGAACAGUCAUCCUUCACUGUUUAGAUGCAAAGAGGGAGUGCUUCAUAGGACAUACCUUCCCUGUGGAUCCCAAACUGGCUGCCUGGUUGGGUAACAAGGACUUUCAGGCUAUAGAAAUGAUGGUAAUCAAUGAGGCAACAAAUUUGUCAGCCUCCAAUUUCAGACUUCCAGAUACUCGCAUGUUGAGUCCUGAUACUAUGGUUUUGUGUCUGACACUGUGGCUACACAAUUAAGCUGAUGUUGGCACAGCUGCACCAAUGUAGCUGUGCUGCUGUAGCACUGCUAUUACAGAUGCUCUAAGCCAGUGGGUGAGAUUUCUCCCACCGGACUUGAUUAGUCCAGCCCCUGCAAGCUGCGGUGGCUAUGUUGGCAGAAGAAGGUCUCCCACUCAUGUAGCGCUAUCAACACAAGGGGUUAGGGCUGUGUAACUACGUUGCUCAGCUGUGUGGAUUUUUCACAUCCCUAAGCAAUAUAGUUAUCCCGAUAAAUGUCUUUAAUGUAGACCAGAGAGGUUUCUCUUGUGUUUUAUCCAUUCACAUUGCUUUUCUACCUCCUCCUACUUUGAAAGAUUAGAAAGUGUGAAAAGAGAGGUAUUUUUCUUCAUGAUGCAAACAUUCUGAUGUAGAAGACCCCUUCUACCAACACAUAUGGCAGAAGAUCCUGAGAUAUAUGAACUCGCAGAAGUGGUUGGGUCCUACAUUGGGACAAACCACAAUAAGAACCAGGGUUCAGUUGUUGGCAAUGGGGAUUAAAAGAAAACUAACAUAUAUGACAAGAA
Non-coding RNA from Chelonoidis abingdonii (Abingdon island giant tortoise), 1722 nucleotides. NCBI's taxonomy places the organism in Eukaryota, Metazoa, Chordata, Testudines, Testudinidae. The record is from RefSeq and is a predicted model, not a curated record.